GACGAACGCUGGCGGCAUGCCUAACACAUGCAAGUCGAACGGAACUUGUUGAAUGAAGUUUUCGGAUGGAUUUUGACAAGUUUAGUGGCGGACGGGUGAGUAACGCGUGAGCAACCUGCCUUUCAGAGGGGGACAACAGUUGGAAACGACUGCUAAUACCGCAUGAUGUGUCGGGAUCGCAUGGUCUGUACAUCAAAGCUUUAUGUGCUGAAAGAUGGCCUCGCGUCUGAUUAGCUAGUUGGUGAGGUAACGGCUCACCAAGGCGACGAUCAGUAGCCGGACUGAGAGGUUGGCCGGCCACAUUGGGACUGAGACACGGCCCAGACUCCUACGGGAGGCAGCAGUGGGGAAUAUUGGUCAAUGGACGCAAGUCUGAACCAGCCAUGCCGCGUGCAGGAUGACGGCUCUAUGAGUUGUAAACUGCUUUUAUACGAGGGUAAACGCAGAUACGUGUAUCUGUCUGAAAGUAU
This 470-nucleotide ribosomal RNA is filed under the name uncultured bacterium. RNAcentral's name for it is "bacterial SSU rRNA". It matches the Rfam family "Bacterial small subunit ribosomal RNA", at positions 28 to 478 of the family's 1533-position model. The record is from RNAcentral.